UAGGGAAUCUUCGGCAAUGGGGGGCAACCCUGACCGAGCAACGCCGCGUGAGUGAAGAAGGUUUCGGAUCGUAAAGCUCUGUUGUUAAAGAAGAACACGUAUGAGAGUAACUGUUCAUACGUUGACGGUAUUUAACCAGAAAGUCACGGCUAACUACGUGCCAG
RNAcentral lists this ribosomal RNA (164 nucleotides) under uncultured bacterium. RNAcentral describes it as "partial 16S rRNA". It matches the Rfam family "Bacterial small subunit ribosomal RNA", at positions 355 to 511 of the family's 1533-position model. The record is from RNAcentral.